GAAAGGAUCGCACGACCCUGUAACCCAGACGCAAUGGCGGUCUCCUCAAAAGAUUCACGAUCGCCCGUUCAGAUUAACCGGCACAAGGAUCGUUACGUCGGUUACAUCGGUAACAAGUAGAGAGAGACCCUGAAGAGGGGGUUCGAAGUGCAUAUACUGACAGUCGGUUGGUAGGGAGAUUUUUGUUCCAAUAGUGGUGGGACGAAAGUUAGGUGUUACUGAGCACCAGAAGACGAACUGGUGACCGGACGGAGAGAGGCGGAAGGGCGGGGAUCUGCGAAGAAAGGCAAGAGCUAUAAAAGAGGCACCGGUUCCGACGAUGGGCAUCAAACACCUCAACAUGAAGGUGUUCGCGAUUACGAUUCUUUUGGCGCUCGUAGCCACCGCCUAUGCCGGUUACAUAAGCAGCGGUUGGUCUGGUGGAGGUGGUGGCUGGAAUGGAGGUGGCUGGUCUGGUGGCGGUGGUGGUGGUGGCUGGAAAUACGGAGGUGGAGGUGGCGGAGGAGGUGGCGGAAAAAUUAUCAAAGUGAUCACUGUUAGCGGUGGAGGCGGUGGAUGGCCUAGUGGAGGCGGUGGUGGAUGGGCUGGAGGUGGUGGCGGAUGGCCGAGUAGUGGCGGUGGUGGAUGGAAAGGAGGAUGGAGCGGUGGUGGUGGUGGAUGGAGUGGUGGUGGUGGUGGAGGUGGUUGGUGGUAAAGGACAAACUGGGAACCAAGCGAAUAAUUAGAAGGAAAUUUUGCUCACCGAUCACCACCAGUGCACAUCUUGGCUGUAAUCACCGAUUCUCGGUUCACGAAGAGACAACCCUGACCCCUCUCCUUACCGAUUCUUUUUCUUCUUCUUUUUUUUUUUUUAUUCUUGUACGCAAGGAAAAACAUCGCGAAGGAAUAAUGCAUCCAUGGAGAAAGAAGGCGGAAAUAACGUGAUCGCGACCGGAGGAACCAUGUUUCCAUCUCGCCGAGAUAUAAGCGCAUAGAAAAGAAAAGAGAGGACAAUAGUGAAUCCAUGGACAGCAAAGAAUAAGAUCACGCUUCCGAGGUUUCUUUUCUUCCUGGCGAUGUGUACAUUUUGAAAGUGAGCUUUGGAUGUAUGUACGCUGAGAUUGCCAAUCCACUUCGAGGCGAACUUUGGAUCCGUUGUCGAAUUACACUAUCAAGAUAUAAAAAUUGUCUAGACAAAUGUGUCUAUGUAAAAGUGUUUUCUUUUGAUUAAAAAUUGAAUUUGAUGUAUUUGAUCUGUUGAGUUCGUGGAACAUCUUGUGUGAGGAUAUGGAUAUGGGUUACUCUUCGAUCAAAAUAUUUAGCAAAUAAUAUUGUAGAUAUUGUACAUUUAAUCCCAUAUCUUUAUAGUAUAUACAUGUAUGUAAGAUCCAAUUUUCAAGUAAAAUGAAAUAAAAAUAUGAAAUUGAUGUGGGAGAAAAAAUAA
This is a long non-coding RNA of Apis mellifera (honey bee), 1423 nucleotides long. RefSeq annotates it as glycine-rich RNA-binding protein 7. The record is from RefSeq and is a predicted model, not a curated record. NCBI's taxonomy places the organism in Eukaryota, Metazoa, Arthropoda, Insecta, Hymenoptera, Apidae. The transcript is spliced from 4 exons.